CCGGACCUUCAGACAGUCUCCAUGCUCAGCCUGGUUCUGCAGAAGGUUUCCACCUCUGAUGCAGUUUCAUCUUUCGAAGCUCAAGAAUGAUAUAACCCAGCACUUUCAGAGUAUGACGUGGAACUGCUGUGAUAACUGGAUUUCGCCAUGUGGGGUGAACUAAGGUUCGUCUUAUCUUGACCAAAGUGCUUCUUGCUCGUGUCAAAGAGUCACAUUCUGCUGAAGUCUGCUUACAGAAACUCCAAGCUGCCAAUGACCUCCUCCUUUCCUGUUCCUUUGUGAGGCAUGAAAAUGUUUAUGCAUUAAUUCCUUCAUCUGCCUGUUGUUGACUAAUUCUUCCUCUUUGGCAGAUGAUGUGUAUGAUUUCUUCAUACAUAGUAUGCACCCGUUGCUACAAUUCAGUUCAUUUGCAUUUAUACGAUAGCACUGAUUACAGUCGUUGUUUCAUUCAAAGCUUAUUUCAUUUUUUUUAUUGUGUCCAUGAAAUAUUUACCAAGUUCACAUCUAAAAAAAAAAGCGUUUUAAUAGAUGAAGAGUUUCUGUUAUUUAUCUUCCUUUCAUUUAUUUUCAUAAUUUCUACUAACAUGCGUUCAUUGGGAUGAGGCAUUCCCCUGAACCCCCGACUUGUCCCAGUCUGGAGCUCUCUGGCGCCCCUCAGAGGGGCCUCGCCCCGCGCUUUGGGAACCACCUGCUGGGGUCAGUCCAAGCAUGAGUGAUGUUGCGGUGUGUGGGACGAGGCUGCAGCUCGGUUUCCCAGGAAACACAGAUGGUGGAUGGAGGGGGCGCAGACAAAGGACCAUAAACCUGCAGACCGAGAGCCCGGCCCCCCUCCCCCGUCCAGCCACAGCAGCCUCUCCUCUCAUUAAAACCCAUUCUCUUCGUCCUGCGGCUCCCGUCUUUCCGGACCGGAGCCCCCCUCCCGGACCGGACCCCCCCCCUCCUCCCGGACCGGACUCCGUCAGGGCGCAGCUGCUGCUGUCGGCACUCCCACAUCUGCGGCUCUCCGCACGGCGGCCAUGGAGAGAAAGAGAGGACGUCUUCACUGCCGCUGCACCCGCAAUCACCGCAACACAACCACGCAAACACACGCGCACGACCAGCCUGGAUGAUCCUCAUCAUGGGAGCUGGAGGAGAAGAAAGAGAAGGCGAGGAGGGAGGAGAGUCAUCCUCCCGGCGUUUGUUGCUGCAUGUGGGACCUGAUCACUGGUAACCUGGUGCUGCAUGGACUCAUGGAUUCAUCUGCAGAGCUGCUCUCCAGUCAGGAUGGAACCAGCAUCAGGACAGGUUAUGUGCACAGCCUGGAAUAUCUUUAUAAAAUCACUGUUGAUUUCACGUGAUUGAUCUUUUAGCUGGGGAUGUUUUUCAGUUUCACUCAUCUCAGGCUAACUAGAAGAAACAACAAACAGAGGAGAAAUAGUCCCUGGGGCAUUUUGGGCGGACAGUUGGGUGGCGUCCCACUUUUCUGCUGCUUUGUGUUGUGUGUUCUUCUCCAGUUACACUGAUGAAAAGGCAGAUCUGGACCCGACAGGACCUCACUGUGCUCCGUCCCGGUGGCUCCUCUCCAUCGCCCUCUGCUGAGCCGCCUCGCUCCCCGUGACUGAUGCAUGAUGGGAAUUCUGCUGCCCUGUACACCUUCAGAAGGAGGGAGUCCGAGUUUCCCCACUAACAACCCGCUUCCACUAAAUUCAUUAAGAGUUAAAAGUCCUU
This is a long non-coding RNA of Salarias fasciatus (jewelled blenny), 1707 nucleotides long. RefSeq lists it as uncharacterized. The record is from RefSeq and is a predicted model, not a curated record. Lineage: Eukaryota; Metazoa; Chordata; Actinopteri; Blenniiformes; Blenniidae. The transcript is spliced from 4 exons.